CCUACGGGGGGCAGCAGUGAGGAAUAUUGGUCAAUGGCCGUAAGGCUGAACCAGCCAAGUAGCGUGAGGGAAGACUGCCCUAUGGGUUGUAAACCUCUUUUAUGCGGGGGUAAAGGGGUCCACGUGUGGCUGUUUGCAGGUACCGCAUGAAUAAGGACCGGCUAAUUCCGUGCCAGCAGCCGCGGUAAUACGGAAGGUCCGGGCGUUAUCCGGAUUUAUUGGGUUUAAAGGGAGCGUAGGCGGGUCUUUAAGCCAGCGGUGAAAUUUUGUGGCUCAACCAUGUGAGGGCG
Molecule: ribosomal RNA, 290 nt
Filed under: uncultured bacterium
Lineage: Bacteria
Description: partial 16S ribosomal RNA
Rfam family: Bacterial small subunit ribosomal RNA
Source: RNAcentral